UGAGGCAGGAGAAUUGCUUGAACCCAGGAGGUGGAGGUUGCAGUGAGUCAAGAUCGUGCCACUGCACUCCAGCCUGGGUGACAGAGCGAGACUCCGUC
Molecule: microRNA precursor, 98 nt
Filed under: Saimiri boliviensis boliviensis (Bolivian squirrel monkey)
Lineage: Eukaryota; Metazoa; Chordata; Mammalia; Primates; Cebidae
Description: miRNA (ENSSBOG00000005637.1)
Source: RNAcentral